Athalia rosae (coleseed sawfly) is the source of this 13554-nucleotide long non-coding RNA. RefSeq lists it as uncharacterized. The transcript has 5 exons. The record is from RefSeq and is a predicted model, not a curated record. NCBI's taxonomy places the organism in Eukaryota, Metazoa, Arthropoda, Insecta, Hymenoptera, Athaliidae.
GCCAGUGAGAGCAACUCGCUUCCGGUCCCUAAAAGGGUCAGUAUACACAGCGCGUUAAUAUUUUCGGAGGUGAACCCAAAGUUAGCCGUGAAAUGAGGAAAAACCACGUCCUCAGCAGGUACAUCAAGUGAUUUAUGAUGGAGGCCGUGGUGUCGAUGCUCGUGCUCAGUACAGGCGGUGUGUCGAGUUCUCUUUUUAAAAUUGUCGUAAGUCCUUGUUCAAUUCACGAAAUAUUAUCUGAUUAAUUACAGCUGAUCGUCACUGAUGAUGGUUUUUAGAUUUUUUUCUUUUAUCAGCUGCUGUUUAAUGAAUGGCACUGGAUUCACUGCCUCGUGUUGUAUAUUUCAGUAAAACUAGCAAACGAACGCACUUACGUCCUGACUUAUCAAUUGUCUUCCCCAGAGUCCCUUACACCUUCCGCCGCGGGGACAUCCUCAUACUCAAAUUUUGAACGUCGUUACCACCUCCCGACUCCUUGUCGUUAGGCGCGUAUAUUCGAACCUCACAACCUUCCUUCUACAGGUUAAUGAUCUUGCCGAUAAUGAGAGACCCCGACUUGAUACACCUGACCCCUGCUACCCUCCCGACAGUCAAUGACCUUGGGCCCCGGCAGGGGCAAAGGCCGAGACAAGCAUACCUGACCAGGUACCCUCCCGAAGGUCAAUGACCCGGUGAAGGGAGAGAGGGGGGUAUGUUUUGGCGCCAGUGACCCAAGGGAGGGGGGAGGGGAAAGGGGGGUAUGUUUUGACGCGGAAAAGCUGUACUAUUCUACUAAUACGCUUUAUCAAGAGCUUCAAGAGGAGUUUUGAGACCGGAGUUUAUAUCCCUUUUGACCGAUUAUAUAGAUGACCUGCUUUUCACAUCAAAGUCAAUCGAAGACCAUUUCAAGCAUUAGAUAUAGUAUUUGGGACCCCACAAAGCCACAAUUUUACAAUGAAACUGAAGAAGUCGCUGUUUUUUCGGGAAUUCGUUUUAUUUCUAGGAUUUGCGCUGUGUACAAAAGGUAUCCGUGCCCACCCGAAAAGAGUCCAAACGAUUUGGGAAUUUAAACAGCCAACGAACAAAAAACAGUUACAGCGGUUCAUUGGUGUCUGUAAUUAUUAUCGCCAGUUUAAUUACAGAUACUCAAAUGCUAUUGAUGCAUUCAGAGACCUAUUAUCUAGCGAAGGAAAAUGGUAUUAAACAGAAAAAUACACAAUCGCAUUUAAAAACCUGAAAGAAAACUUUUUAGAGACAACAACAUUAUACCAUGUGAUUUCGAACAAACUAUUCACAAUACAGACGGACGCUAGUGACAAAGGGAUCAAUUAUAUCAAGAGGAUGAUCAAUGAAAUAAAAAUUUGAUUUUAGUCGUGAGCCGUUGUUUAUUGUGGUGUGAGAGGAAUUACACAACAAUGGAAAGAGAACUCGUGGUAAUUGUUUAUGCGCUUGAACAAUUUCGAAUCUAUGUCUACGGAAAAACAUUCGGAUUAUUAACCGAUCAUUACAGUAUGACUUUCCCCUCUAAAACGCCAUUUCGUAACGGCAGAAUCGUACAGUGGGGCUAACUCAUACAGCAGUACGAAUUUGACAUUCAGUUUUCCAAAGGAAACACAGAACGUUGUUGCUGACUUCUUCAGUCGCAAUCCAAACUUAGUGAUGAACGAGUAAACGAAAAUACAUAAUUGCAAAAUUAAACAAAACCACAGAUCAAUUCACAAAAAAAAAAUCCGUUGGAGAUUAAUACCUUAGACAGCGAGAUACGUGAACAAUUCGAAAACUUAGAAGAAUUACAACAGCAAGACCCCGAUAUCCAUGAAAUAAUUGAGACAACACAAGGUAGAGACGAGGCGAGGUAUAAGAUAUUUGAGAAGAUACUGUUUCACAAGGAAUUGCGUGGCGAUGAGAAUUGGCGUAUUGUUAUAACAAAAACAAUGAUACAAAAAAUAACAAAUAGGGUACAUUGUAAAUUAGAGCAUGUAGGGUAUUACUAAACAAUGAAAUAUUUAGGUCACUAUUAUUAUUGGAAACACAUGAACACUCAGAUUACUCAGAUUAAACAAAAUGUUCUGGCGUGUGAUCUAUGCCAAAGGAUAAUAAACAUAACAUACGCAAUGGAAGGUGAGUAUUGAGGGGGAGAAUCGUUGAAACCGGACGAUUUAAUCAUGGUCGAUUACUUUGGUCCUUUGUCUAGAUCCACGUUUGAAACUUUUUGAACAUUUUCUAUCCUACCAAAUACAUUUUUCUGAAUUUUUUCAGAUUUUCUUACCCAACCCAAAAAAAGUUACGAAUUUUGGAGAAAAAACCGCUCCUUUUUUCUUAAAUUGCGAUAACUUUUCCACAAAUUGAACUUUCGGCUCUUUUUGAUUAUUAAAUUUCUGUUUUUGAAUGUAGGUGUAACGUGCGACUUUGGGCGCGUCAACAAUUAUAAAGGGUUCGCCCCUUGCUGGAAGUUUUGAUAUGAUAAAGGUUCGACGAUUGGUGUUCUCGUGAUUACUUAUUUAUUAAUACGUAAGAAGCCCUAUUUGAUGAAGAGGAUUGAUGUUGCUCAGCCGGAUGGUAGUGGAGAGACUUUGGAGAUAUUUUUGCUCAGCCGGAUGUUAGUGGAGAGUCUAAGUUUUGAAGGAAUAGCGAGAAGAAGGAAGGCUCGAAAUUAGGUGGGGUUUUUAGCUGAGUUUGCAUGCCGUUGCAGCUAGCAACAGUCUGCAGAGUGAUGCGGUGGAGAAAUAGGAGAAGAGGAUGUAGAGGGUCGGGUUGAUCGUGGUAUAGUUUGAUUGUAAGAGAAGGAGAAAGUGAAGAAGAAGAAGAGGAGGAGGCGUUAGACGUAACAUAGGUUUCAGAAAAAAAUACAAAAAUUUUUUCGGAAGUCACCAUAUAUGAAAAUUUCAGUUUUUUCAAUAAAACCAUCAUUUUUUCGAACUUUGACCCCUUCGAUUCUCAAGUUUUUUGUCUCAAGAAAGAAUUCAAUUGAGACAGUAUUUAACCCCGCUAUUCUCAUUUUGUGCCGACUUUCCAUUCUAUUUGUUUUUUUUUAUUAAAAAAAAAAAAUGUGAUAUGGCUUAUUUUUUUUUGACUUUGCGCUGUAGUUUUUUUCACCGUGGGAGAGCCCGAACGGAUUUUAUCGGAUAAUGGAACGCAAUUUGCAUCCGCCAAAUGGAAAGUGACAUUAGAAAAUCUAGGGCUGAAUGUAAUUUAUGCAUCCGUACGAUCCUCAAUGGAAUCCUACGGAACGGACAAUGCUAGAAUCGGGGCGUUUUUUUCGUGCACUGGUUCGGAUAAGCAGAUCAAAUGGGCAAACUUUAUAAAAUAUGAUAAGCAGAUUUUAAAUGCAACUAUCCACAGAUCAACGGAGUUCAGCCUUUAUGAACCACAAUUUGGUCAUAGUCAUGAAGAUAAAAUUGUAAAACUAAUUAGAUUUCCCGAGAACGAAGUUGAAUCAUGAUUAUAAGAUUGAAAGAGCACGAAAAACGCUAUCUAAGACUUUUUCACAAAAACAGAAACGACAAAAAGGCGUGUCAAAGAUUAUUUCAAAUGUAGUAUUAGCUCGUAUACCUCACCAAUCAAAUGCGAUGAAAAAGGUCAUAAAGAAAUUGUUCGACAUUUAUUACGCCCGUUCGUAAUCGAUGAAGUAUACUGCAACAAUUCAUAUCGGCUUGGUGGCAAUGGUAAUAAAAAGAAACAAACAGAAAUUUAUAACCGAUACCAUCCAAGAAAGUACAAGCAGCCUACUAAUCAAUAAUUGAAUUUUAUAAGCAUGUGACCAAUGACGACUUUUACAGAAUCAACAUUUCUAAUUACGUAGACAAUUCUGGAAACAAUAGACGAUGGAUAACAGAUAAUAUUGGAUGAAAGACUGUUUAUACAUAUGCACGUGUAUGUGAUUAGAAUUAAGAAAAUAAAAUUUAGUAACGACGACACAUUUGCGAUUAUAAAAUGAGAGCAAUUAGUAAUUAGAGGAUGGACAAUUUAAAAAGGAUACAAUAUAUGAUAAUAAACUGAUUAUCUGAAAAGAGUUCAAUGGAAACCCUCACAGACGUUGUGAGGUUCGAAUAUACGCGCCUAACGACAGGGAGUCGGGAGGUAGUAACGAUGUUCAAAAUUUGAGUAUGAGGAUGUCCCCGCGGCGGAAGGUGUAAGGGACUCUGGGGAAAACAAUUGAUAAGUCAGGACGUAAGUGCGUUCGUUUGCUAGUUUUACUGAAAUAUACAACACGAGGCAGUGAAUCCAGUGCCAUUCAUUAAACAGCAGCUGAAAUAAAAGAAAAAAAUCUAAAAACCAUCAUCAGUGACGAUCAGCUGUAAUUAAUCAGAUAAUAUUUCGUGAAUUGAACAAGGACUUACGACAAUUUUAAAAAGAGAACUCGACACACCGCCUGUACUGAGCACGAGCAUCGACACCACGGCCUCCAUCAUAAAUCACUUGAUGUACCUGCAAAUAAAGAACCGACAAAUCAAAUAAAUGGAAAUUCCAAAAUAUCUCGAUCGUACCUGCUGAGGACGUGGUUUUUCCUCAUUUCACGGCUAACUUUGGGCUCACCUGCAAAGAAGAAAUCAGUAUAAAGAUAAGUGGAAUUUCACCAAGGAAACGAUUAGGGAAAAUUGUUCCUACCAUUCAAGUCCAGUGAAUCUCCCCAGAGGACAAUUUUACUAUAACUAUUUUAUUUAUACAAUUAUACACCGACUCUUAAUUCAUUCAUAUAUAUAUAUAUACAGUGCGUAAUAUUUACUUGCAACGAUUUUACGUUAUUUAUGUACAUAUGUGAGAGGGAUGUGUGAAUGUUUUGUAUUCUCGUUUAUUUAUAUUGAAUCGUUGUUGCCGUAAUAAGGAAAUGUUAUAAAAAUCAUUACAUAAUGAAAAGAUUCAGAGAAGCAAAAUUAUAACGGGGCAGUAAAAAGUUAUAGAAAACAAGUCAUGUAUUAUGGCGUGUUUUUUCUUUUGUUGAAUAAUUAGCUUGUCUAGGUGAUGUUCUCAAGAUUUAUGUUAUUCUAUUUGCCAACAUGGACAAGUAUGAAUAUCACGUCGUUCAGCAGUCAACUGACCAUCAGAUUACCCGUUCAGGAUUAGCAAUCCUCGACAUACACUUAUAAUACACUUACAUUGGAGAUUAGCUUUACAUUUAUCCUUCAGCAUUUACGUUAGAUAAUCAGUGAAGAUGCAUCCAAACCAGAUGGUCUAGACAACAAGUGCCUGUUUAGUUAACCUUUUUCAGCAGUCUCGGAAGAAUAUGAACGAGUGUCUUUCGAUUCGGAACAGCAUUAUGAUGAUUCUCGAAAGCAAUCAAGUAAUAAACAAUUGAGGAUAAAGUAAGGGGCAUUUUUUUAAAUAUCGCAAAAACUAAUCGAUAGUUUUAGAAUUUCAGAAAGGGUUCGAAAAGAGACGGGAAUUUCCCAAGACAAGUCCGAUUGGACGGAAUCGUGACAAUUAUUUUCAAUUCCUCACAGGGGUGGAAAUACGGCCGAGAACGGGUAUUCUGGUUUCUGCACGUCGUGCUCACACUGAACACUUCAACAAUAUAAAAUUUUCGAAGUUACUAAAUAUGAAUAUUAGGGAAUACAAGAAUUCAGGCUGUAAGAGUUAUGGUUUUGUUGCGUUCGUUCCCUGGUCAAUAUACGUAUAUGAACUUAAAACUAAAAUAUUCUUCUUGUAACGAUAUAUAGGUAUAUAUAAAGAGAGAAAAAGAGAGAAAAAGAGAAGAGAGAGAGAAAAUAAACAAACGAAUUAAGACAUAAAAACGGAUUACCAGCUCAUCGACACAUGAGCCAAACAUGGCCAACAUGGACAUCGUGAGAGCGGGACGCACUUGAACCAUUUGAUGUACUGGGACCGAGGAAUUGAAAUCUUGGGGCAAUAGAGUCGACCGAUACCCGCAAAAAUAUUCAGGACAAGUCAAUUACUGGAACUCAGGACAAACCGGUACAUCAAAAAUUACCGAUAAGAGACAAAAGAUAAGUCGCGCACAUUCCUUCUCUUUCUCAUUUCACGAACAUCGACGUUUGUUAUAAUUCUAUAUAUUAUUUAUUCGUCUGUAUAUCAAUUUCUAUAAUUUAUUCUCAUCACGUCCGAUUUAUUUUCAAUGUCUGUGUCAUAGAAAAUUGAUUUUAUUCAUACACUUUAUUUAUUUAUACAUCUGUAAUGUUUGUUAUAUUUUCUUUUUGACUUGGACUAAAAUUUUCUUUGUCUAUAUAUAUAUAUUUUAAAGAAUCUGAUUCGAACUGAGAGAUAUAUUUUGUGACGAAGAUACGAUGGUAAAAUAACUGCCACUUUUAAAUUUCAUGGACAUGCUAAAUUUUUGACGAUAAAUUUAUUUUAAAUUAUACCUAAUUCGAUUCUGCGUGAAUGUUCUGUGUUUGUCCGAUUUCAUGUGUUAGAAAUUAAGCGAAUCUAUUUAUUACAUCUUUCCUACUUUCUUUUUCCUUCAUUAAGUUAUUUAUUCUCUCUUUUACAAAUGAAAGAUGAACAAGAUUGCUAACAAGGAAAUAUCAAUAGAAAAAAAAGCAAUAUAAUAACUUGCGAAACAUAACAUUUAGGAAAUAAAAAUAAAAAAUCAUUUCAUACUUAAUUACUAAGAGAAAGAGGUCUAUUUUGUGGGUGUUUGAUUAGGUGCACGUAUAUUCGGAUUAGGUCUGUUCUGUUAAAUGAUGGUGUAGAUGAGCGUCCUUUCGGUGAGAAGAUAUAAAGGUGUCGGCGGCAGGAGUAGUAGUCGUUAUAUCGUUGUUCAGGUAUUUCAGUUUAAUUCAAAUUGCGUAACGAUACGGCGUCCGUGAUGAAUUUCGUUUUUUAAACGGCAAGCACUCGUGAGGUGUGCUUGUUCUUGUCUCGUCUCACAAUCGGUGGGUCUGUGUCGUUUGCUUGCACAUCGAUCUAGCCUAAUGCAAUUGCUGCACUGUCUUGUCUACGUAUAUUACUAUGUAUGAUGCUGACCACGUACACUUGAUUUAGCCCCAUAUGACACCACUGCCUCCCUAGUCACCACUUUGCUAGCAAGGUUAGGUGCCGACUGACUCCUUCCAUUCUUCUUAAUUGCUUCUAACCUCAUCGUUCUUCUCUUUCUUCCCGAUUUUCUUUCUCUUUUUUACUAAUCUUAUUACAUAGUAUACAGAAUCCUACAAGGCACUGACCGAAUAGAUAAGCAAACAAUAAUCCACUGGCCAAAAAUUCAAAUCGCGAUUUUUCAAUUAGUUUUCUAUUAUAUGAUUAACAAUUUUUCAACGCCUGGACAUGAACAUUGCAAGUGCAAUAAUUGUUGAACAAUACACCUGCGAUUUUUUUCUUCAAUCGGGGUUAUUUUUGAGGAGCUUCAGAAUAAAUCCCCGUUAAAAUGUGUAGAGAUUUCAAUUUUCAAUUUUUCUAUGAACAAUUUACGUAAAUAGAAAAUUUGAGACCCAAAUUGACCAUCUGUAAAAAAAAAAAUUUUCCGGAUAUUUUGAUUAAUCCGUUUUCUACUAUCAAAAACAACAUGCAAAUAAUUUUGAAAAAUUUUUAUAAGCAAAUGCUUUGUAAAUGAGAUGAUUGGAAUUUUUUUUUAGAACUGAAUGUUUGAUGCAAAUGGUUUUCUGAAAAAAUCGUUCCUUGGAAAAAAAAUUUUAUUGCUUGACAACAUAUCUGUCAAUGACCAUUUUUUUUACUACUCGAUAAUAGGGAACCGUUUCCCACUGAAAUCAUGAUUUACCUUGGUCUUCAAUAUUCGAGGAAAAUUUUUUGGUUCAUUCAAUCUUUCAUUGUUUAUUUGACGAACAAUUUGAUUCCACCGGGACAAACGUAUAUAAUUUUAUCAUUCAAAUAAACUUGACAUAUGCUACUGUGCGUUGUUUUUUAAAGAAGAAAAGUUCCUUAAUAUUGAUUCUAAGUGGUAAAAAAAAAUGAAUACUGAUCAACAAAUCCGUUUUGAAGCAAGAAAAAGUUUUUCUAAGGAACGAUUUUUUUUUUUUAAUCAUCAUUUACAUCACUGAUUUGGUUUCCACCAAAAAUUUUGUCAUCUUAUCAACAAUACAUUUGUUCAUAACAAUUUUUCAAACAAUUGGACAUGAAAAUUCAAGAUCAUCAUUUUCAUGAAGUUUUCGAUCAUAAAAAAACGAAUAAAUUAAAAUAUUUAGACAAAAAUAUUUUCUUGAUAUGGUAAAAUUCAUUCAUUCGAUUCAUUAAUUUCAGUUAUCAAUUUUUUUAUUACGUUAAUUGUUAAUGAAAAUUGAUUCAGUUUUCAAGAUAUUUGCAAAGAGCGAAGCCCCUUACUUUACACUUAAUUGUUUAUAACUUUUAAAAUUCUUGCGAGCGGAACUCGAUUUUUUAUGAAAAUCAUCUACGUGCCGUUCCGAAUCGAAUGACACCUUGUUCAUAUUUUUCCGAGACUGCUUGAGAAGUUGACCAGAAAGGCACUUGUUGACAAGACUAAUUCCAAGAAACUACCGAUAGUGGAAGAAUUUCGAAGACCAAAGAACGCUCAAGGUAUUAAACCUGGUGUACACACGCAUUUUAAAAUUGAGUAAAUUUAAGAAAUCUGUGAAUGGAUUGAUCACAAAGUGCGCGUAUGGACCAGACAUUAAAGAAUUCCUUGGCUGGGACGGCUACUGCAAAAGAUUUAUUUCUGAUUAUUCGAAAAAAGAUAAAUCACUCUUGAAUUUAUCAAAGAAUGAAGUACUGUUUCAAUGGAAAAAAUGAUAAGACGAAGCCUCUGUAAAUAUUCACAAGUGGAGUUCACGCUAUUUUUGGCCAUGAAAAAUCGAAAAUUGAACAUUUUCCAAGUUUAUUUUUUUUUCAAAUAAUUCUUUCACGGCGGAUUGAUGUAAAGAAAGCGUCAACAAAGACUUAAUAUUCCAAUCAUUUUUUGUAAUUUUAAAGUAUGAAAAAAUAAUCAUCUUCAAGUUCGGUAAUUAUGCCAAAUCUAAUGAAAAUUUUCUCUAAAAAAUAUAUCCGGCAUAUAGGGUCAUUUCUGAGUGCCUUAUUAGUAAUGGAAGAGUGAAAUUAACAAUUAGGUGGUGGUCAGGUAGCAAAGACCUAUAGGUGUCAUAAGUAUAGCUCGGCGCACUUACGUGCGAGACCACCUAUUUAACCCUUGGUCGCUCCCAGGUCAAGUCAAAUGUUCAAUUUUCAAAAUUCAAGUAUUUGUGUAAUCAAUUUGCCAUGAAGAUGGACAAUUUGGAGAAAAAAUCUAGGAAUGUUACUCUUUCGAUUUUUUAUGCCUAAAAAUAGCGUGGACCGCAUUCGAAAAUUGGGAAAUUUUUAAUUUCUGAGUUUUUUUUUUUAAAUUGAUUCAUUUUUCAUGUACUUAGAGAUAAAAAAUACCUACACUCUUUUGAAUAAAAAUUUUGACCAGAAAUAUGUUUUUUGGGAUUCAAAAAUUGAAAUAACUCGUUCAAAUAUCCAAUUCUUCAGAUUGUAGUAUUUUUUCCAUUGAUCUGCCAUUAAGAUAAACAAUUUAAAAAAAAUCCCAAAUAUCUGAAUUUUUAUCGAUUUUCAAUAGGCAAAAAUAGCGUGGACCCCACUGCUAAAUAACUACUGAGACAUUAAUAGAAUUAUGCGACAAAUUAUUCAAUGAACUGAUAUUACAGUACAGUAAAUUCAAUAAAUGAUUUCUGCGCCUUUGUUUAAAAAAUAAAGAUGAAGGUCUUGAGAAACUGAACGGGCCGAAUGUUGAUAAAGAAAGAAAUAAUAAUUAUAUUUCGAGAGCCACUUGACAUCUGGAUAUACGACUAUAAAAUAAACGGUACUGACAUAUCAACCAGUAUACCCGUAACAAACCAAGCUAGAAACCUUAGCGGUCACGUUCCACCGAGUAAAAGCGAUAAUUCAGACGCCUUGUCAACAACGACACUCAGCUAAGCUGAUUUAGAGCCUUAUGUAACUCCACACCCUACGCUGCAUAAUCAAGAUCGAAUUUGUGAACCGGAUCACUGUACUGAUUCAAAUGAAAACAAAGCUUCUGAAAAUUUCGACGACUCGACCAACGACGACGGUGACUACCCAAGCUUUCUUGAGCAUCAUGAAUCAGACGACGAUAGCUAUAAUGACUCAAAACCUCAUAACAUGGACCAAGAUACCCCAACUAGGGUAUUUUAGAAAAAACUUUUGUUCAAAUUCGAAGUCAAAGUUCCAUUUAUAUGAAACGAACCUCUAAACCAGCGAAUCUAAUGAAAAAUCAUGAGAAACUUUUUUUGUAGAACGUUCAAUUCUCUACAAAAAUAUGUCUUCGUCAACUCUGUAUAUUGACUUGUUAGCGAGUUAUAAAAUUCAGAAGCGUAAGAAAUAUCAUUUUUCCUGAGUUAAUGUUAUGAAAAAUAAAAAAGUGUGAUGAGAGAUACGUAAAUAUUAAUAUUAAGAGCUGAAAUUUCAACUGGCAUCUUUUUGAGUCCAAACAAAACUUUUGAGCCUGUUUCCAAAAAAAAAAAAAAACAAAAGUUCUUCCUGAAACACCGUAAGGACCACCUAUAUUUUGAGAUCAAUGAAAAUUCACAAAAAUCUACCCCUGACGAUACCAGAGACAGCGACCAUAAAAGGAACGCAUGCAAACAACAGCGACCAUAAAAGGGACGUAUCCAUAACUGACUUAGAAGCCGGAAUUACUUCUAGUCAAGCCCAAGCGACCCUUUACAAAAACCAUAUGUUGAUUUCGAACCAGAACAAGGAACAAUUCAAUUCUCUGAAACUCGAGAAAACCUUCCACUCUGAAAAGGCAAUAAAGUAUUCUUCACGUGGAUGUCCUUGAACUCGCAAAUAUCCUUCGGUCAGCUCUUAAACGACCCUCUUUUACAGAUGUAAUAUUCGGAAGACCCGUAGUUCAAGAAAAUGAAAAAACUCGCUACAUAAGUAACUAGUAAAAAAACGAUACGUAUAAACUUACUUUUGGAUAAAGACACACACAGUAAAGCUGCACAAUCGCUACACAAAGUAGUACCAGAAUCACAAUUAGAUGCCCCAACGAUUCUAAAAACUCGAAAUACAGGCAAUUGCACACACGGAUAUUGAUCGCCAGACUUCGUUAUAAUUUUCAACGUGACCGCGGAAGAUGGCGUCGGACUCCAACAGCGACGACUGCUGUCGGCGUUUGAAUUUAACUGUCAGACCUCUCAACUUGAAAGUUUAUAACUACGAAAACAAGAAUCUCAUUUCCGAAUAUGAGUCUGGCCAAUAUGAACUAUUUUGGUGAAUUCCAGUUUUUCCAAUUCAAAAUUCGAAAUAGAUAGAGAAACUUCCAAAAAAUUUGAAGUGGCGGACAGCCGAAUUGCAAAAGUUAUUGACGAUUCAGUGCAAAAAAAAAGGGUUGGUUAUUUGCUAAUAUCUCAAAAACUAUUACAAAUAUAUAAAAUCUGAAAAAGGAUCCCUAAAGAACAAGAAGUUUCCUUGAGAAAAGUACUACCUCCCGGAACUUUACCGCAAUUAUUUAUACUUGUGAUUAUGAGAUGGAAUUAGUGCUAAAAACGGGUGAAGUGAGUUCGGCACGCGCCUUACGCAGCGUAAGAAUUGUCGCCUUCGUAUUGUCUAUCGGGGCAAUUGCCUUCCGAUCUUUACGCCUGUCCAAGUGAAAUAUUUUCGCUUGUCCGCAGUGACACAUUUUUGACUGGUCCAUACUGGUACAGCAUUCAGGGUAUUAGCGUCAGCUACAGCUGACUGCCUAAUUUCAUGACCGUUACCUGAAGGAACGCUUGAGGAAAUAUAUCUUGGGAAGUCGGCCGGUGAGAAGCCGUAGCGCAGAAAGAUCCGUGGAACUAGGGAUCCUCCGAUUAGACCGCCGAUUUCGACCUAACAACCGAUAUUGUAAUUAUCGUUUUUUGUAUUGUAAUAACCUGACUGAUUGAGGUUUCAUAUAAUACCGAACGUUUUACAUUGUUAGUUGUAUAAUAAGGAUCACAGCCCAGUGAAGGAACUUAUUGUAUUGUAAAAUCCAGCCCCUCAACCGUUCAGUACCACAUCUACGCUAGCUGAGUUGCCGCCUGUCCCAAUUUUUUUUCAACUUCGUAUUUUUAUGUGAAUUCCGCUUUGUCAAGUAUUUCGUGAUGCACCAGCGUCCAGGCCCAAACCGAGUGUUCGAUCAGUUUCGUAGCUCCUUGAGCCGUGAAGCGGGAUGACACGAGUACUGGCGGUGCUGGUUCCCGCCAACGGCGUAUAACAACAAUGGUAAUUUCAACACUUGUAGCAGAUUUACAAUCAGUGAAAAAUGCUCGAUCUCGAAUGACCUGGUAGAAACUCAAAAAGAGAAGUUCCCGUUGAUGAAAAAGUCAUAAAUGCGGCGAAACUCCGCAAAGUAUUGUGGAAUAUAAAAAAUGAAUUGUACCACGACAAUCUCCACAAGAAGGAAAUUUGGGCUGAGGAUGCCUACGCAUUACAAAUGGAUGGUCCAGUCUGAUUAUUGAGUCAAGGUUUAUCAUCAACUGACUGUGAGUUUUGAAUAUCUGAAUAUUGGAAAAUGGCGCGGAAUUUGAAUGUUUUAAUGUCCUUCUUCAAAACUAUGGAGACUACAAACAGUAGUAGUGAUGACGAAAUUUUGCACAUAUUCAAUUCUCGUGUGGGAAUAGAUAGACCACAAGCCGAAUCUUAUACAGAUGUUGUCAGCGUAUACGAUGAUGAAGAGGUACAGUAAAAACAAGGCUGUGCCGAGAGAUGUAGCUGGGCGAUUUGGUAUCGAAGAAUCCACAAAACAUGCCAGCAAUGAAGAAGUAAUGGACUCGUCAAACUGAAAAAUACAAAGAAUAAGACGGAGAGAAAUUCCACAAUUGAAGGUGAACUUUUGGAAAAAAUUUGCACUUAUCAAGAUUUGCGUUUUCAUAAAAUAACAUCCAAUCGCUUUUUCUAAUGUUGUCGAGAAAGAAUAUGCUUAGACCAGGUAAUUGGAAAAAAUAAACUGUCAACAAUUCGAAAAAAAAUUGCAAUAUUUCUUAAUCUACCCGAUGUGAAACAAUAUACAGGCCACUCAUUCCGACGUACCCCAGCCGCCCUUUGCGCUAACAAAGGUACGAAGCUUGAAACAAUAAACUAAAAUAUGAUAAAAUAUAUGAUCUAUAAGAUUGGAAUGUAUGUCAUCAAAAAGUAUCUUUAUCUACGACAUCCUCUGAAUUAUUAUUUUUUCGGGUGCUAAUAUAACAGCAAUGAAAAUACUCAGAGACUGGAAGUCGACUGGAGUCAUCGAGAAGAAUCUUCAUCUACGUAAUCCACUGAAUUAUUAAUUUUUUGGGUGCAGAUAUAACAGUAAUGAAAAGACUCGUAGAAUGGAAGUCGACUACAGUGGCCGAAGUAUAAAUCGAAGACCAUUGGAUAUAAAAGAGAGAUGGAAAAAUAAAUUUUAAAUGCUAUCACAAUGGCGUCAACGUCAUUCGAAUCUUCAUCAUACCAACAACCUUUUAAUUGUCAGAAAUUGGAGCAAGAUAAUCACAAAAAUAAACACAGCAGCGUCAACAUCCAACGUCAUUGAAAAAGCAACUAUGUUCGACUCAUCAAUGAAUGUACACAAAACUCCGAUAACCAUAAAUAUGACUAAAUGUUUUACUGCAACAAUUAUUUUCAAAACUUAAACCUUCUUGGAAGAAAAAAAAAAAGAUUUUUCUGAAAUAAAUUCAUAUUUGGAAGAUACUCCAAAGACCUUCAAAA